Non-coding RNA from Triplophysa dalaica, 743 nucleotides. The record is from the annotation of a RefSeq genome assembly. NCBI's taxonomy places the organism in Eukaryota, Metazoa, Chordata, Actinopteri, Cypriniformes, Nemacheilidae.
CAAACCAACAAGAACAACAAUGACUUUCAGCAUCAUCUUCAUCUGGACACUCACAGUGUUUGCACAAGAGUGUAGAGGACAGUACACUGUUACUCAGAGUCCAUCAAUAACAGCAGUUCAACCAGGACAACAUGUUCAAAUAAAGUGUAAAGUCAGCAGUGGGGUGUAUAAUAGUGAUUUCUUAGCCUGGUACUUACAGAAACCUGGAGAAGCUCCUAAACUCCUCAUAUAUAGAGCAACAACCCUCCAGUCUGGAGUAUCAUCUAGAUUCAGUGGCAGUGGAUCAAACACAGAUUUCACUCUGAGCAUCAGUGGAGUUCAGACUGAAGAUUCAGGAGAUUAUUACUGUCAGAGUGCUCAUCAUAUCAACAGUAAAUGGGUGUUGACACAGUGAUAAAGAGUCGUACAAAAACCUCCGUCAGUCAGACUGAACAUUGACUGCACUGAUACACCUGACACAUACUGCAGCUGCUCAUACAACACACACAUGCACACACACAAGCACACAACAAAACUGAACUAUUUAAAGAAUUUCAAAAAUUAUUUAGACAAUUUAAUUACUUAAAUCCAAACUGAGUCUUGAGUUAUCAGAUAUUUUAUUUUUGUCAAAUUCAGAUGAUUGAACCAAUCAAACAGUGUAAAUUUUGAUCAUAAUAUUCUUUUAGUUAAAUUCAUGAUUUAUGUCAAUCAUAUAUGUGCACAAACAACUUUAUAACAUAGCAAUAAAUAUAUUGUGUUUUUGG